RNAcentral lists this long non-coding RNA (618 nucleotides) under Trifolium pratense (red clover). RNAcentral's name for it is "long non-coding RNA (TPRA_LNC001038)". Lineage: Eukaryota; Viridiplantae; Streptophyta; Magnoliopsida; Fabales; Fabaceae. The record is from RNAcentral.
ACCACCAGAUUGAUGAAUAUUUUACUUGUAGACGAUAAAGAACAACAAAGCACGACACAAAAAAGUUGUGCGAGUCUGGUACGGAUUGAACCUAACUCCAUCUCAAAACCAUAGUUUAAUGGGGAGGAUUGUCCAAUCCUAUAUAAACUCUCACACCAGAUUCAUGACCACUGGAUUCAUGACUUCCGAUGUGGGACUCCAAGUUAGGUUCGUGAAGACCAACUUGCACAUGGAAAUCGGAAACAGAGUCGCCGUUUUGUUGUGGUUGUGGCAAUGCAUAUUUUAGUAGUGAUUUGUCAGCUCGUUAUUCAACAUGGUAGAUCGAUAAAUAUAAGUCUACAGUUUAGAUUUAAAAAUGAGGGGACUAAAAUAGCAUUUAAGAGAAUUUUAAAAGGCGAAAAUACGAAAUUAGUCUCGAGAGAGUUAUCACCUUGCAUCCUGCAAAUGGAAGUCUUCUCAGCAGCAGGAAAACAGACUGAUUGAGGAGAAGGCAAAUUGUCAGAGGUACCUUGAGGAGAAGGAGGGUUGUUAGUAGUGGAAAAGAGAGAAGUGAAGGAAAUUCCACUCUUCAUUUCAGAAGACUUGGCAUUGGUAGCAGCCAUCAACAUUAUUUCAUGC